This is a long non-coding RNA of Corythoichthys intestinalis (scribbled pipefish), 444 nucleotides long. RefSeq lists it as uncharacterized. Lineage: Eukaryota; Metazoa; Chordata; Actinopteri; Syngnathiformes; Syngnathidae. The record is from RefSeq and is a predicted model, not a curated record. The transcript is spliced from 3 exons.
GGAAGUGGUUUGUCACGUGGUGUCGACCCAAAGAUAUGGCUCUGGCUGUAUAUAAAUAUAGAUGUAUAAAGGAUAUGUUGGAAGCACUGGAAAGAAUAAGACAAAGUGCGGUUGACGUCAACCAUUCUCGCAGUCGGUGUGAUGUCACCAUGACGUCAUCCCGCAUAGCAACGUGUCGCCAUUUUGAGAUGGGGGCACACACAGGAGCAAUUUGACUGGAAUUUCCAUACAUGGACUGAUGUGAUAGCAUUAUCAACCAAGUGGCGGGUGGCACCACUACGACUCUGCAAUAAGACAUCUGUUGUGUUGCCUCAUUUGUAAUGCAAUAACAAUUUUCCUAAAACGUUUGGAUUCACUGUGAAUUUUUUACAAAUAUAAGUUGCGGUAUACAUUACAUUCAAAUAAAGGGUGUUAUAUUUGUUUUAUCACACUAUAACGAGUAAC